CGCGUGAGAAUCUGCCUUCAGGUCUGGGACAACAGAAGGAAACUUCUGCUAAUCCCGGAUGAGCCCUUGGGUAAAAGAUAAAUNUGCCUGGAGAUGAGCUCGCGUCUGAUUAGCUAGUUGGUGAGGUAAAAGCUUACCAAGGCGACGAUCAGUAGCUGGUCUGAGAGGAUGAGCAGCCACACUGGGACUGAGACACGGCCCAGACUCCUACGGGAGGCAGCAGUGGGGAAUUUUCCGCAAUGGGCGAAAGCCUGACGGAGCAAGACCGCGUGGGGGAGGANAGGCUUUAGGGUUGUAAACCCCUUUUCUUUGGGAAGAAGUUCNUGACGGUACCAAAGGAAUCAGCCUCGGCUAACUCCGUGCCAGCAGCCGCGGUAAUACGGAGGAGGCAAGCGUUAUCCGGAAUGAUUGGGCGUAAAGCGUCCGCAGGUGGCCAUGUAAGUCUGCUGUCAAAACCCAGGGCUCAACUCUGGUCAGGCAGUGGAAACUACAAAGCUAGAGUCUGGUAGGGGCAAAGGGAAUUCCCGGCGUAGCGGUGAAAUGCGUAGAUUUCGGGAAGAACAUCGGUGGCGAAAGCGCUUUGCUAGACCAGAACUGACACUCAGGGACGAAAGCUAGGGGAGCGAAUGGGA
Molecule: ribosomal RNA, 632 nt
Filed under: Blennothrix glutinosa MOR385
Lineage: Bacteria; Bacillati; Cyanobacteriota; Cyanophyceae; Oscillatoriales; Microcoleaceae
Description: bacterial SSU rRNA
Rfam family: Bacterial small subunit ribosomal RNA
Source: RNAcentral